This 253-nucleotide ribosomal RNA is filed under the name uncultured bacterium. RNAcentral's name for it is "partial 16S ribosomal RNA". It matches the Rfam family "Bacterial small subunit ribosomal RNA", at positions 524 to 776 of the family's 1533-position model. The record is from RNAcentral.
UACAGAGGGUGCGAGCGUUGUCCGGAAUCACUGGGCGUAAAGGGCGCGUAGGUGGCGACCCAAGUCAAUGGUGAAAGCUCGAUGCUCAACAUCGAGUCGGCCACUGAUACUGGGUUGCUCGAGCACUGUAGAGGCAGAUGGAAUUCCGGGUGUAGCGGUGGAAUGCGUAGAGAUCCGGAAGAACGCCGGUGGCGAAGGCGGUCUGCUGGGCAGUUGCUGACGCUGAGACGCGAAAGCGUGGGGAGCAAACAGG